Molecule: ribosomal RNA, 320 nt
Filed under: uncultured eukaryote
Lineage: Eukaryota
Description: partial 18S ribosomal RNA
Rfam family: Eukaryotic small subunit ribosomal RNA
Source: RNAcentral
CCCUUAGAUGUUCUGGGCUGCACGCGCGCUACACUGAUGAAUUCAACGAGUUUAGAACCUUGACCGAAAGGCCUGGGUAAACUUUUAAAUCUUCAUCGUGACGGGGAUAGAUUAUUGCAAUUUUUAAUCUUGAACGAGGAAUUCCUAGUAAACGUGAGUCAUCAGCUCACGUUGAUUACGUCCCUGCCCUUUGUACACACCGCCCGUCGCUCCUACCGAUUGAAUGAUCCGGUGAAAUCUUUGGAGUCCAGCUUGGCUUUAGCCUUGCAGUGGCGAAAUUGCUUAAACCUUAUCAUUUAGAGGAAGGAGAAGUCGUAACA